GAGAAAUCUAAUCUAGUUGACGAUGUUGGGAAUUUUCGGCAUAUUACAUCCAGUCUUGGAGAGCGGCACCUCACUUUACACCAACGUAGCACUCAAAGAGUCCUCUUUAUCCCAUGCCAGUGGAGGAAGGGUCUGAAGCUUAGUGGUGAAGCUGCUGUUGAAAAAAUUACUUUAGAUGGAGUGAAGGGUUUGCGUGUCAUGUUGGGUGCGACUGCUCAUGAUGUUUUAUAUUACAUGAGCCCCAUCUAU
Molecule: unclassified non-coding RNA, 249 nt
Filed under: Hevea brasiliensis (rubber tree)
Lineage: Eukaryota; Viridiplantae; Streptophyta; Magnoliopsida; Malpighiales; Euphorbiaceae
Source: RNAcentral